CUACGGAGGGUGCGAGCGUUGAUCGGAAUUACUGGGCGUAAAGCGUGCGUAGGCGGUUUGCUAAGUCAGAUGUGAAAGCCCCGGGCUUAACCUGGGAACUGCAUUUGAUACUGGCAGACUAGAGUAUGAUAGAGGGGGGUAGAAUUCCUGGUGUAGCGGUGAAAUGCGUAGAUAUCAGGAGGAAUACCAGUGGCGAAGGCGGCCCCCUGGAUCAAUACUGACGCUGAGGUACGAAAGCGUGGGGAGCGAACAGGAUUAGAUACCCCUGUAGUCC
This 274-nucleotide ribosomal RNA is filed under the name uncultured bacterium. RNAcentral's name for it is "partial 16S ribosomal RNA". It matches the Rfam family "Bacterial small subunit ribosomal RNA", at positions 523 to 796 of the family's 1533-position model. The record is from RNAcentral.